GGUUUGAUUCUGGCUCAGAUUGAACGCUGGCGGGAUGCUUUACACAUGCAAGUCGAACGGCGGCACGGACUUCGGUCUGGUGGCGAGUGGCGAACGGGUGAGUAAUGUAUCGGAACGUGCCUAGUAGCGGGGGAUAACUACGCGAAAGCGUAGCUAAUACCGCAUACGCCCUUCCAGGAAAGCGGGGGAUCCUUCGGGCCUCGCGCUAGCCGACAGCCGAUAUCGGAUUAGCUAGUUGGUGGGGUAACGGCUCACCAAGGCGACGAUCCGUAGCUGGUUUGAGAGGACGACCAGCCACGCAGGACUGAGACACGGCCCAGACUCCUGCAGGAGGCAGCAGUGGGGAAUUUUUGGACAAUGGAAACCCUGAUCCAGCCAUCCCGCGUGUGCGUGAAGGCCUUCGGGUUGUAAAGCACUUUUUGGCAGGAAAAGAAACGGCGGGAUAAUACCCGUGCAACUGACGGCCUGCAGAAUAAGCACCGGCUAACUACGUGCCAGCAGCCGCGGUAAUACGUAGGGUGCAAGCGUUAAUCGGAAUUACUGGGCGUAAAGCGUGCGCAGGCGGUUCGGAAAAGAUGUGAAAUCCAGAGCUUAACUUUGGAACUGCAUUUUUAACUACCGAGCCAGUGUGUCAGAGAGGUGGAAUUCCGCGAUGUAGCAGUGAAAUGCGUAGAUAUGCGGAGGAACACCGAUGGCGAAGGCAGCCUCCUGGGAUAGCAUGACGCUCAUGCACGAAAAGCGUGGGGAGCAUUAGGAUUAGAUACCCUGGUAGUCCACUUCUAAACGAUGUCAACUAGCUGUUGAGACGCUGGACCUUGGUAGCGCAAUAACGUGAAGUUGACCGCCUGGAAGAAUACGGUCGCAAAGAUUAAAACUCCGGAGAUGACGGGGACCCGCACGAAGCGGUGGAUGAUGUGGAUUAAUUCGAUGCAACGCGAAAAACCUUACCUACCCUUGACAUGUCUGGAAUCCCGAAGAGAUUUGGGAGUGCGCAAGAGAACCGGAACACAGGUGCUGCCGAAACAUCGAUGGCUGUCGUGAGAUGUUGGGUUAAGUCCCGCAACAGGCGCAGCACGUAAUCGUUAGUUGCUACGAAGGGCACUCUAAUGAGACUGCCGGUGACAAGCCGGAGGAAGGUGGGGAUGACGUCAAGUCCUCAUGGCCCGCUAUGGGUGAGACUUCACACACGUCAUGCAAUGGUCAGGACAGAGGGUCGCCAACCCGCGAGGGCCAAUCCCAGAAACCCGAUCGUAGUCCGGAUCGCAGUCUGCAACUCGACUGCGUGAAGUCGGAGAAUCGCUGGUAAUCGCGGAUCAGCAUCUUCUUUGUUGAUACGUUCCAGGUCUGUACACACCGCCCGUCACACCAUGGGAGUGGGUUUUACCAGAAGUAGUUAGCCUAACCGUAAGGAGGGCGAUUACACGGUAGGAUUAACAGCUAGGGUGAAGUCGUAACAAGGUAA
Molecule: ribosomal RNA, 1462 nt
Filed under: uncultured Bordetella sp.
Lineage: Bacteria; Pseudomonadati; Pseudomonadota; Betaproteobacteria; Burkholderiales; Alcaligenaceae
Description: partial 16S-23S ribosomal RNA intergenic spacer
Rfam family: Bacterial small subunit ribosomal RNA
Source: RNAcentral